RNAcentral lists this ribosomal RNA (492 nucleotides) under uncultured bacterium. RNAcentral's name for it is "partial 16S ribosomal RNA". It matches the Rfam family "Bacterial small subunit ribosomal RNA", at positions 29 to 507 of the family's 1533-position model. The record is from RNAcentral.
AGUGAACGCUGGCGGUAGGCCUAACACAUGCAAGUCGAACGGCAGCACAGUAAGAGCUUGCUCUUCCGGGUGGCGAGUGGCGGACGGGUGAGGAAUACAUCGGACUCUACUUUUUCGUGGGGGAUCACGUAGGGAAACUUACGCUAAUACCGCAUACGACCUACGGGUGAAAGCAGUGGAUCUUCGGACCUUGCGCGAUUGAAUGAGCCGAUGUCGGAUUUGCUAGUUGGCGGGGGAAAGGCCCACCAAGGCGACGAUCCGUAGCUGGUCUGAGAGGAUGAUCAGCCACACUGGAACUGAGACAAGGUCCAGACUCCUACGGGAGGCAGCAGUGGGGAAUAUUGGACAAUGGGCGCAAGCCUGAUCCAGCCAUACCGCGUGGGUGAAGAAGGCCUUCGGGUUGUAAAGCCCUUUUGUUGGGAAAGAAAAGCAGCAGGUUAAUACCCCGCUGUUCUGACGGUACCCAAAGAAUAAGCACCGGCUAACUUCGUG